AGGUGGCCACAGCAGCCAAUCCUUCUUUCUGGGGUUGGGGCAGGUGAAGCAACCCAUUCACCAUGCGAAAGUGAGGUUUGGGAGGUUCAGUAUGACCACUAUGCAAAGUCUUCGAAUGUGGGAAAUGUUUCUUCACGUAUCUUACCUACUAUGAUAUGUUCAGAAGAUGGUAUCCUCGCUGUUGUUGAACAAGGUGAGGAACCCAUCGAGCUGCUGGCAGAACCUUGUGCAAUCAACAGCUUUGACAUAGACCGACAAUAUCCUUCUGAUGUUAUAUGUAGUCUGGAGUGUGAAUCUAUAGCCGUCUUGACAAGGCCAUGACAUCCACAAAUUGACAUGUUCAGAGUUAAAUGUGAAAUCGAAGCUCGCCAAUUUUCUGUAAUUGAGAAAUGAAUCUCUGCGUAAAAAGAUGUACGAACCAAGUUACGGAUGAUGUUUAAAAGCCUGUUUUGUUUUGGUUGCUGAAAUUAGUCAUCCUCUAUGUUCGUUGAUCGACUCAGUGUCCCUCCUCCGUACUGUACCGUUACGUGGGAAUGAAAAUGAAAGCUUAUUAAACAUUGUGUCCAUUAAAAAGCUAAAGAAACUGGUUAUUGUGCAUUA
Molecule: long non-coding RNA, 600 nt
Organism: Pyrus x bretschneideri (Chinese white pear)
Lineage: Eukaryota; Viridiplantae; Streptophyta; Magnoliopsida; Rosales; Rosaceae
Exons: 3
Source: RefSeq, a predicted model, not a curated record